RNAcentral lists this ribosomal RNA (924 nucleotides) under uncultured archaeon. RNAcentral describes it as "bacterial SSU rRNA". It matches the Rfam family "Archaeal small subunit ribosomal RNA", at positions 1 to 922 of the family's 1478-position model. The record is from RNAcentral.
UUCCGGUUGAUCCUGCCGGAGGCCACUGCUAUGGGGGUCCGACUAAGCCAUGCGAGUCAUGGGGUCCCUUCGGGGACACCGGCGGACGGCUCAGUAACACGUCGGUAACCUACCCUCGGGAGGGGGAUAACCCCGGGAAACUGGGGCUAAUCCCCCAUAGGCCUGGGGUACUGGAAGGUCCCCAGGCCGAAAGGGGCUCUGCCCGCCCGAGGAUGGGCCGGCGGCCGAUUAGGUAGUUGGUGGGGUAACGGCCCACCAAGCCGAAGAUCGGUACGGGCCAUGAGAGUGGGAGCCCGGAGAUGGACACUGAGACACGGGUCCAGGCCCUACGGGGCGCAGCAGGCGCGAAACCUCCGCAAUGCGGGCAACCGCGACGGGGGGACCCCCAGUGCCGUGGCAAAGCCACGGCUUUUCCGGAGUGUAAAAAGCUCCGGGAAUAAGGGCUGGGCAAGGCCGGUGGCAGCCGCCGCGGUAAUACCGGCGGCCCAAGUGGUGGCCGCUAUUAUUGGGCCUAAAGCGUCCGUAGCCGGGCCCGUAAGUCCCUGGCGAAAUCCCACGGCUCAACCGUGGGGCUUGCUGGGGAUACUGCGGGCCUUGGGACCGGGAGAGGCGGGGGGUACCCCUGGGGUAGGGGUGAAAUCCUAUAAUCCCAGGGGGACCGCCAGUGGCGAAGGCGCCCCGCUGGAACGGGUCCGACGGUGAGGGACGAAGGCCAGGGGAGCGAACCGGAUUAGAUACCCGGGUAGUCCUGGCUGUAAAGGAUGCGGGCUAGGUGUCGGGCGAGCUUCGAGCUCGCCCGGUGCCGGAGGGAAGCCGUUAAGCCCGCCGCCUGGGGAGUACGGCCGCAAGGCUGAAACUUAAAGGAAUUGGCGGGGGAGCACUACAAGGGGUGGAGCGUGCGGUUUAAUUGGAAUCAACGCCGGA